UACGGAGGGUGCUAGCGUUGUUCGGAAUCACUGGGCGUAAAGGGCGUGUAGGCGGCCUGUUAAGUCUGAUGUGAAAUCCCCUCGCUCAACGAGGGAACUGCGUCGGAUACUGACAGACUCGAGUACCGGAGAGGAAGGUGGAAUUCCCGGUGUAGCGGUGAAAUGCGUAGAUAUCUGGAGGAACACAGGUGGCGAAGGCGGCGUUCUGGACUGCAACUGACACUGAGGAACGAAAGCCAGGGGAGCAAACGGG
RNAcentral lists this ribosomal RNA (253 nucleotides) under uncultured bacterium. RNAcentral describes it as "partial 16S ribosomal RNA". It matches the Rfam family "Bacterial small subunit ribosomal RNA", at positions 524 to 776 of the family's 1533-position model. The record is from RNAcentral.